Homo sapiens (human) is the source of this 485-nucleotide long non-coding RNA. Lineage: Eukaryota; Metazoa; Chordata; Mammalia; Primates; Hominidae. The record is from Ensembl.
AGGAUGCCGUAGCCCACGGUGGCGGCUCUGACCAUGCCCUGGUGCACUCGCUCCUUCCGAUCCUUGGAGAUGGGACCGGCUCCGCCGCCGUGGACCACUACGAUGGGAUUCAUGUCGGCGGAUCCUAGGCAGCAGGAAGGCGAAAGCGUCGUCCAAAGCCAGCCCAAGGAAGCCGCGCGGAUUGAAAAGCAACGCUAGGCUGUGCGCAGUGGCUCAUGCCUUGUAAUCCCAGCACUUUGAGAGGCCGAGGCGGACGGAUCACCUGAGGUCGGGAGUUCGAGACCAGCCUGACCAACACGGAGAAACCCUGUCCCUACUAAAAACACAAAAUUAGCUGGGCGUGGUGGCGCAUGCCUGUAAUCCCAGCUACUCUGGAGGCUAAGGCACGAGAAUCGUUUGAACCUGGGAGGCGGAGGUUGCGGUGAGUGGAAAUCGCGCCAUUGCACUCCAGCCUGGGCAACAAGAGUGAAACUCCGAAUCAAAAG